RNAcentral lists this small RNA (175 nucleotides) under Bison bison bison. RNAcentral describes it as "Vertebrate telomerase RNA (ENSBBBG00000000495.1)". It matches the Rfam family "Vertebrate telomerase RNA", at positions 22 to 180 of the family's 443-position model. From Rfam's summary of the family: Telomerase is a ribonucleoprotein reverse transcriptase that synthesises telomeric DNA. The record is from RNAcentral. Lineage: Eukaryota; Metazoa; Chordata; Mammalia; Artiodactyla; Bovidae.
AGAACAGAUUUUUCUCAUCUAACCCUAAUUGAGACAGGCGUAGGCGCUGUGCUUUUGGUUACCGCGCGCUGUUUUUCUCGCUGACUUUCAGCGGGCGGAAAAGCCUCGGCCUACCGCCAUUAAAAAAAAAAAAAAAGAAACAGAAAACAAAAAGAUAUUUGUAAUAGCUGCUUCU